CGCGUAGGCGGGAUGGCAAGUCGGUCGUGAAAUCCCUCGGCUCAACUGAGGAGCGUCGAUCGAUACUGCCGUUCUUGAGGAUUGCAGAGGAGACUGGAAUUCCCGGUGUAGCGGUGAAAUGUGUAGAGAUCGGGAGGAACACCGGUGGCGAAGGCGGGUCUCUGGGCAAUUCCUGACGCUGAGGCGCGAAAGCGUGGGGAGCAAACGGGAUUAGAUACCCCGGUAGUCCACGCUGUAAACGAUGACGACUAGGUGUGGGGGGGUUCAGUCCCCUCCGUGCCGCAGCUAACGCAUUAAGUCGUCCGCCUGGGGAGUACGGCCGCAAGGUUGAA
Molecule: ribosomal RNA, 332 nt
Filed under: uncultured bacterium
Lineage: Bacteria
Description: bacterial SSU rRNA
Rfam family: Bacterial small subunit ribosomal RNA
Source: RNAcentral